CCUACGGGUGGCAGCAGUAGGGAAUCUUCCACAAUGGGCGAAAGCCUGAUGGAGCAACGCCGCGUGGGUGAAGAAGGUCUUCGGAUCGUAAAACCCUGUUGUUAGAGAAGAAAAUGCGUGAGAGUAACUGUUCACGUUUCUACGGUAUCUAAACAGAAAGCCACGGCUAACUACGUGCCAGCAGCAGCGGUAAUACGUAGGUGGCAAGCGUUAUCCGGAUUUAUUGGGCGUAAAGGGAACGCAGGCGGUCUGUUAAGUAUGAUGUGAAAGCUUUCGGCUUGACCGGAGUAGUGCAUUGGAUACUGUGAGACGUGUGUGCAGAAGAGGAGAGUGGA
This 335-nucleotide ribosomal RNA is filed under the name uncultured bacterium. RNAcentral's name for it is "partial 16S ribosomal RNA". It matches the Rfam family "Bacterial small subunit ribosomal RNA", at positions 338 to 665 of the family's 1533-position model. The record is from RNAcentral.